RNAcentral lists this ribosomal RNA (1203 nucleotides) under metagenome. Its description in RNAcentral is "SSU rRNA". It matches the Rfam family "Eukaryotic small subunit ribosomal RNA", at positions 558 to 1790 of the family's 1831-position model. The record is from RNAcentral.
AGUCUGGUGCCAGCAGCCGCGGUAAUUCCAGCUCCAAUAGCGUAUAUUAAAGUUGCUGCAGUUAAAAAGCUCGUAGUUGAAAUUUUGAUUGUAGCGGUCAGUCUCACAACAGUGAGUGCUAGAUGUGCUGUGGUCAUGUUUCGUUGGAACGUGUGUGGCAUUGAGUUGUCGUGCAUGGGAAGACGAUCGUUUACUGUGAAAAAAUUAGAGUGUUCAAAGCAGGCUUAUGCCGUUGAAUAUAUUAGCAUGGAAUAAUAAGAUAGGACCAGGGUACUAUUUUGUUGGUUUGUGCACCUUGGUAAUGAUUAAUAGGGACAGUUGGGGAUAUUCGUAUUGCGGUGUCAGAGGUGAAAUUCUUGGAUUUCCGCAAGACGAGCUACUGCGAAAGCAUUUAUCAAGGAUGUUUUCAUUAAUCAAAAACGAAAGUUAGGGGAUCGAAGAUGAUUAGAUACCAUCGUAGUCUUAACCAUAAACUAUGCCGACAAGGGAUUGGCAGGGUGUGUUUAUGCCUCUGUCAGCACCUUAGGAGAAAUCAUAAGUUUUUGGGUUCCGGGGGGAGUAUGGUCGCAAGGCUCAAACUUAAAGACAUUGACGGAAGGGCACCACCAGGAGUGGAGCCUGCGGCUUAAUUUGACCCAACACGGGAAAACUUACCAGGUCCAGACAUAGUGAGGAUUGACAGGUUGAGAGCUCUUUCUUGAUUCUAUGGGUGGUGGUGCAUGGCCGUUCUUAGUUGGUGGAGUGAUUUGUCUGGUUAAUUCCGUUAACGAACGAGACCCCCGCCUGCUAAAUAGAUGGUCUAGUGAUUUUUCACUGGAAACAUCUUCUUAGAGGGACGUGCGUUCUAUUAGACGCAGGAAGAUGGGGGCAAUAACAGGUCUGUGAUGCCCUUAGAUGUCCUGGGCCGCACGCGCGCUACACUGAUGCAUUCAACGAGUUGCCUUCACCGAGAGGUGUGGGAAAUCUUGGAAUGUGCAUCGUGAUAGGGAUAGAUUCUUGUAAUUUUUAAUCUUGAACGAGGAAUUCCUAGUAAACGCAGAUCAUCAAUCUGCAUUGAUUACGUCCCUGCCCUUUGUACACACCGCCCGUCGCACCUACCGAUUGAAUGGUCCGGUGAAGCCUCGGGGUUGUGAUGACUUUUCUUCAUUGAGAGGUCGUUGCGAGAACUUGUCUAAACCUUAUCAUUUAGAGGAAGGUGAAGUC